RNAcentral lists this ribosomal RNA (404 nucleotides) under Actinomycetes bacterium. RNAcentral describes it as "Actinobacteria bacterium partial 16S ribosomal RNA". It matches the Rfam family "Bacterial small subunit ribosomal RNA", at positions 355 to 776 of the family's 1533-position model. The record is from RNAcentral. Lineage: Bacteria; Bacillati; Actinomycetota; Actinomycetes.
UGGGGAAUAUUGGACAAUGGGCGCAAGCCUGAUCCAGCCAUGCCGCGUGAGUGAUGAAGGCCCUAGGGCUGUAAAGCUCUUUCACCAGUGAAGAUAAUGACGGUAACCGGAGAAGAAGCCCCGGCUAACUUCGUGCCAGCAGCCGCGGUAAUACGAAGGGGGCUAGCGUUGUUCGGAUUUACUGGGCGUAAAGCGCACGUAGGCGGACUUUUAAGUCAGGGGUGAAAUCCCGGGGCUCAACCCCGGAACUGCCUUUGAUACUGGAAGUCUUGAGUAUGGUAGAGGUGAGUGGAAUUCCGAGUGUAGAGGUGAAAUUCGUAGAUAUUCGGAGGAACACCAGUGGCGAAGGCGGCUCACUGGACCAUUACUGACGCUGAGGUGCGAAAGCGUGGGGAGCAAACAGG